RNAcentral lists this ribosomal RNA (253 nucleotides) under uncultured bacterium. Its description in RNAcentral is "partial 16S ribosomal RNA". It matches the Rfam family "Bacterial small subunit ribosomal RNA", at positions 524 to 776 of the family's 1533-position model. The record is from RNAcentral.
UACGAAGGUGGCAAGCGUUACUCGGAAUUACUAGGCGUAAAGGGCAGGUAGGUGGUUUGAUAAGUCUGUUGUGAAAGCUCCCGGCUUAACUGGGAGAGGCCAACAGAUACUGUCGGACUUGAGUAUAGGAGAGGGUACUGGAAUUCCCGGUGUAGCGGUGAAAUGCGCAGAGAUCGGGAGGAACACCAAUGGCGAAAGCAGGUACCUGGACUAUUACUGACACUCAGCUGCGAAAGCUAGGGGAGCAAACAGG